GAACUUAAGCAUAUCAAUAAGCGGAGAAAAAGAAACCAACAGGGAUUGCCUUAGUAACUGCGAGUGAAGCGGCAAAAGCUCAAAUUUGAAAUCUGGCGUCUUUGGCGUCCGAAUUGUAAUUUGGAGAGGCAACUUCGGAGAUGGUGCUGUCCUAAGUUCCUUGGAACAGGAUGACAUAGAGGGUGAGAUCCCCGUGCCUGGAUGGCUGUCCAUCUUCAUGUGAAUUGCCUUCGAAGAGUCGAGUUGUUUGGGAAUGCAGCUCAAAAUGGGUGGUAAAUUUCAUCUAAAGCUAAAUAUUGGCGAGAGACCGAUAGCGCACAAGUAGAGUGAUCGAAAGAUGAAAAGCACUUUGAAAAGAGAGUUAAAAAGUACGUGAAAUUGUUGAAAGGGAAGCGCUUGAGACCAGACUCGAUUCGUGGUGAUCAGCUGUGCUUCUGUACGGUGCACUCGCCAUGGAUUGGGCCAGCAUCGGUUCUGACGGUGGGAUAAAAGGUUGAGGAAUGUGUCUUCCUUCGGGGAGUGUUAUAGCCUCACUCACAAUGCCACCAGCUGGGACCGAGGACCGCGCUUCGGCUAGGAUGCUGGCGUAAUGGUCUUAAGCGACCCGUCUUGAAACACGGACCUAGGAGUCUAACAUCUAUGCGAGUGUUCGGGUGGAAAACCCUUGCGCGUAAUGAAAGUGAACGGAGGUGGGAACCCGCAAGGGUGCACCAUCGACCGAUCCCGAUGUCUUCGGAAGGAUUUGAGUAAGAGCAUAGCUGUUGGGACCCGAAA
RNAcentral lists this ribosomal RNA (774 nucleotides) under uncultured fungus. Its description in RNAcentral is "eukaryotic LSU rRNA". It matches the Rfam family "Eukaryotic large subunit ribosomal RNA", at positions 30 to 821 of the family's 3401-position model. Lineage: Eukaryota; Fungi. The record is from RNAcentral.